This 119-nucleotide small RNA is filed under the name unclassified sequences. Its description in RNAcentral is "LOOT RNA". It matches the Rfam family "LOOT RNA". From Rfam's summary of the family: Latescibacteria, OD1/Parcubacteria, OP11, TM7. Lineage (Microgenomates, aka OP11) The record is from Rfam by way of RNAcentral.
GACCUAAACCAAGCUUCGGCUUGGCACGGUUUAGAAAUCAACGGAAAGAAAAAGCUCGUCAUGAGUAUUUCUUUCCGUUGUCAUAGCUCGAAAGGGCUAUGGGUAGCCGCAAGGCUGCC